RNAcentral lists this ribosomal RNA (253 nucleotides) under uncultured bacterium. RNAcentral's name for it is "partial 16S ribosomal RNA". It matches the Rfam family "Bacterial small subunit ribosomal RNA", at positions 524 to 776 of the family's 1533-position model. The record is from RNAcentral.
UACGUAGGGUGCAAGCGUUGUCCGGAAUUAUUGGGCGUAAAGAGCUCGUAGGCGGUUUGCUGCGUCGGCUGUGAAAACCUGAGGCUCAACCUCAGGCCUGCAGUCGAUACGAGCAGACUAGAGUGUUGCAGGGGAGACUGGAAUUCCUGGUGUAGCGGUGAAAUGCGCAGAUAUCAGGAGGAACACCGGUGGCGAAGGCGGGUCUCUGGGCAACAACUGACGCUGAGGAGCGAAAGCGUGGGGAGCGAACAGG